This 443-nucleotide ribosomal RNA is filed under the name uncultured bacterium. Its description in RNAcentral is "partial 16S ribosomal RNA". It matches the Rfam family "Bacterial small subunit ribosomal RNA", at positions 338 to 795 of the family's 1533-position model. The record is from RNAcentral.
CCUACGGGAGACAGCAGUGGGGAAUAUUGGGCAAUGGGCGCAAGCCUGACCCAGCAACGCCGCGUGAAGGAAGAAGGCUUUCGGGUUGUAAACUUCUUUUAUCAGGGACGGAGCAAGUGACGGUACCUGAUGAAUAAGCCACGGCUAACUACGUUCCAGCAGCCGCGGUAAUACGUAGGUGGCAAGCGUUAUCCGGAUUUACUGGGUGUAAAGGGCGUGUAGGCGGGAGUGCAAGUCAGAUGUGAAAACUAUGGGCUCAACCCAUAGCCUGCAUUUGAAACUGUACUUCUUGAGUGCUGGAGAGGCAAUCGGAAUUCCGUGUGUAGCGGUGAAAUGCGUAGAUAUCAGGAGGAACACCGGUGGCGAAGGCGGCCUGCUGGACUGCAACUGACGUUGAGGCCCGAAAGCGUGGGGAGCAAACAGGAUUAGAUACCCGUGUAGUC